AUGACAUCAAAACUCCUUAUAUUCAAUAUUAGUAAUGUGCAUGGUGUUGGCUUGAAUGAAAUUUGUUGAAGUCGAAACCUGAACUGUAUGAUCUUCAUUCUCACUGAGAUUUUUGCUGUCUUGCGGUGUUGGUUUGGUUUGUGCAUUCAUGAUUUUUGUUUGUAGAAACUUCAUGAACGAUUCACUGAGAUUUAAUUUACUGAUUUUGGAUCAGUGCUGGUUGUUCAUUUUCACUCGGCUCUAUUCUUAUGGCACAUCACUACUGUUCAAGCUCCUUAUUGUUGCAAUGAGCUAGUUUCUUCAUGUUUGCAUCACUUGAGACUUAGAAAAUUCAUGAUCAAAUUGGAACUCACAUGGAUGUGCCUGCACGGCUGCACCUGAUAUGGGAACUGGGCCACAGGUUUGUUAUCAAGCCGACUUAGAAAGUACUAAAACUUUGAUGUUGCAGUUACAAUUGCAGUUGGGAACUUUGAUUAUACUUUGAAUUGUGUAAUUUAAUUAUAUAAUUCACUUAAAUAUUUGUAUUUGUUUUAUGAUUCAGGAACUGUGUAUACCAAUUGUACAUGUUGAUCUCUUGUAUGAAUGUAGGAACUGUGUAUGGAGGAUUGGAGAAUCCAUUUAGUUAUAGUAUGAAGCCAAGAGUUGGCAAUAACAAGAUUCCGCCGGUCUCUCGCCAUUAUUGUGUGCCUCUACAAUGCUAUCAUCUUGAUCUCAUUAAUUUCACCGAGUUUCAGUUUCCUGGCAGCUGAGGCUCAUAACAAUUAAGGAAUGGGAUUUGAAGUUGUAUUUAAUGGCGGACCUGCAGUUUGUAUAUCACAUAUUGGCCCUAAGAAUUUCAUGGUUCAGGUUGCACUUGUCCUUUGUUUUGAAAUUAUCCUAAUAAGUCUAAUUAUUUUUAUUUACAUGGAAUCCUUCCAGAUCUCAAUCUAGUUGUGUCACUACUCCUAGGUCGAUCUCACCUUAUGUAUAUUUGUACAUUUUACACUUUUGGACAGAUAACAUCACAAUAUAUGUGUCAAAAGGUAAUCAAUCAUCCCUCUUUUUUUAACUUAGUGUGAUUUCCAUUGUUUGAUAAAAAUUGAAAUUUUUA
This is a long non-coding RNA of Trifolium pratense (red clover), 1090 nucleotides long. RefSeq lists it as uncharacterized. The record is from RefSeq and is a predicted model, not a curated record. The transcript has 3 exons. Lineage: Eukaryota; Viridiplantae; Streptophyta; Magnoliopsida; Fabales; Fabaceae.